CAGGCUGCAGGGGCUCUUCCCUGGUUUCUCUUCUGAGAGCUAAAGUGGGAAUGCCUGACCCAUGGAAAAUGAUAUUCCUGAUAAUUUCCUCAGCCAGUCACUUUGCCAAAAACACCACUUGCAAAGUGCAGCCUCAUGGGGGUAAUCGGAACAGAAGAGAGCUUGCACGGGUAAUGGAGGGCAUACCACAGAGUCUCUGAAACCUGCUGAAGGAAUUCAAUAUAUCAUGUCUCUAUCACAGAGGAAAGACUUGUGGAAAGAUUCACUGACCUCUGCUUCCACAUAUCCCAGGCGUGGCAGAAGAGACUGGACCCCAUCUCACUACACCCUCCCUUCAGGCCGCUGUGGAGAGUGACAGGGUCCCCCCCAAGCCUCCUCUUCUCAAGACUGAAUAAAUGUAGCUCCUUCAGUUGUUCCUC
Long non-coding RNA from Onychostruthus taczanowskii (white-rumped snowfinch), 419 nucleotides. RefSeq lists it as uncharacterized. The transcript has 3 exons. Lineage: Eukaryota; Metazoa; Chordata; Aves; Passeriformes; Passeridae. The record is from RefSeq and is a predicted model, not a curated record.